GGGUGGUUUUGGCACCUGAACAGAAAACAUGGUGUGUGGCUAAACCUUCUGAUAAUGACAAUCGUACACUCGAUGAAAACAUUAAGUUUGCAUGCGCCGAGGUAGAUUGCCGGGUUGUGCUAGUCCACUGCCCCUGUUUCUGCAAAGACAAGUACCUUUUCGCCUCGAUGGUAAUGAAUCUUUACUAUCAGGAAAAGGGUCGGAUUAGCAUAAAUUGUGAUUUCAAGAACUCGGCUAUUGUUAUCAGCAAGGAUCCAAGUCUUUCGGACUGCACUUUUGCAUGAAGGUCGAAAUUAAGGGCGGAGCUAGAAAUCUUUUUGUGGGG
Long non-coding RNA from Alnus glutinosa, 325 nucleotides. RefSeq lists it as uncharacterized. The transcript has 3 exons. NCBI's taxonomy places the organism in Eukaryota, Viridiplantae, Streptophyta, Magnoliopsida, Fagales, Betulaceae. The record is from RefSeq and is a predicted model, not a curated record.